Molecule: long non-coding RNA, 925 nt
Organism: Alligator mississippiensis (American alligator)
Lineage: Eukaryota; Metazoa; Chordata; Crocodylia; Alligatoridae
Exons: 2
Source: RefSeq, a predicted model, not a curated record
GCGCGGCUUACGAACCGCGCUGGCGGUCUCGUCGCAUGUAUGUCCCUGCCUGUCCCGGCCUCUGCGUGGGGAACCACUCUGGGACUCUGGGACUCUAUGCAAUGCAGAGAAACAUCUAGUCGUUGGAUAAGAUAUUGUACCCAAACAUAUCACUGCUAAUACUUUACUCUCCUGAGACAUGACAUUUAAGGAGCUCAUGACCAGGGAUCCUGGUUUCAUUUUAAAUCACAGUAAAAUGUGGAUUUGUGGUUACUUCUUUUAAUAUGAAAAUUGGGUUGGGUUUUUUUUGUCAGAGAAAACCACGAUCCCUGCUAAUGACACUUUACAACAAUUAAUCUAUACAUUUCUAGAGUUUAAGGCAGAAGGUAUAAUUAGACUAUCUAGUGUGACCUCCUGCUUUUACAUUCCACCCAGUUGCCAUUGCAUUGAUCUCAAUUCCUUAUAUUGAACUAAAGUGUAUCUUCAAUAAAGAACAAAGGCAUCUACCUUUAAACUGAAGCAAUCAAAACAUGGAAAAUUCUUUCAUUUUGAAUGGCUCAGUUUUUGUACAGCUCUCAGAAAAGCAUUUUCUAGGAGUACAAAGUCAGGUGUUUCCAUUUUGUAAUAAUCUAAAGCAGGGGCAGGCAGUUAUUUUGGCUGGAGAGCCGCUUAACAAGUUUUGGCAAGCUGUCGAGGGCUCCAAGGUUAGCCCCACCCCUUGACAGGUGGCCCAUCCUUGGGUGCCAUCUUGGGACUGGAAGUCCCACCCCCUAAGCCAUGACCUUUGCCACUGUAGGUCCCUCCCCUUCCCCCAAAAGUACUCAAUUUGGGAAGUAGAUUUGCCAUCUUGGAACUGGAAAAAAAACAAAUUAUAUGCUAAAAAUGAAACAUCCAAAAUAACAUAUUUCAAUUUUAUUUAAAAUAUAUAUAUAUUUUUGUCCUUAUU